Long non-coding RNA from Betta splendens (Siamese fighting fish), 1100 nucleotides. RefSeq lists it as uncharacterized. The transcript is spliced from 3 exons. NCBI's taxonomy places the organism in Eukaryota, Metazoa, Chordata, Actinopteri, Anabantiformes, Osphronemidae. The record is from RefSeq and is a predicted model, not a curated record.
CCACACAGCAGCCCUGCACCACACAGUCCUUGGACAGCUGCUCGUAGACGCCUUUCUGGGGCUGGAACAGGGUCUAGGAGCACAACAGCUGGCGGUCAGCAGCUCCCUGAAGGAGCGAUCGUGUAGCAGCCACUGCAAAGCUUGCCAGGAGCCUCGGCUGUGGGCAUGGACGAGUGGAAGACAAAGAGCUUCCCGCUACAUUCUGCCGCCUGGAGGGAGGAGAGGGACGUGAGAGAAGCGUGUGCAACGUUUACUUAACCUUUGUUUGUGAAGUUACAGAAUAAAAGCAUAUGUAAGAAGCCUCACAAUAAAACCUUGGUGACUGUUUAACACUGUGAACUCUCACAACUGCUUACAAUUAAAAGCGCUGUGUGAACUUUCCCUUCACCGUGAGCCAAAGCUCUGACCUCAUUUCACUGGGAUUAGUUUGUAGGAUUCUAAACUAAACACAAACAUAUCAAGGACACAAAGAAGAUGAAAUGUGCUGCUUCACUUAGCUGAUGAACAAAGCUGGCGUGAGCAGAACAUCUGCAGCGUUCUGACAGAUCGAUACGAUCUGGAGGCUUUGGACCUUUUAGAAACAUGGACUAACAUCCAUAGUGUCUGAUUAGUGGAAUGUGGGGGGCAGGGUGUUAAAUUGAGGAACGUGAUGCCAGUAAAAUGUCACAUGUCAGUCUAAGGACUGAACAUCUCAUGUUUCAUUGUACACCUGAACUUGUAACAGCCGCAGACGACUCAAUAAGUUGCUGAAAGCCCCUCGUGUCCAGCUUCAUGCUGACAGACGUCGACCUGGACUGACCUUAAAUGCCUCCAAACCGGCCUGGAUGACGGGGGCAAAGACCGUUUCGCUCUCGUUGGUGUCUGCAAACAUGUCAGGGAUCUGGUCCAGGAGGCUGAGGAGACAAGCGACAGGAUUAUGCCAAGGCAGUGGCACGUCUCAGAGACGGCUGAUUCAGCCGACGAUAACUGCCCUGGAGUCCUGGUAGUUGACGAGGAAGCCGUCGAGCAGCGGGACGAACAUCUCGGCCGUGUCCGACACCACCAUCAUCUGAGGCUGCGCUAACGUGCUCUUCACGUUGUAGAAGUGGAGGAUCUUGUUG